Gallus gallus (chicken) is the source of this 1504-nucleotide long non-coding RNA. The record is from Ensembl. NCBI's taxonomy places the organism in Eukaryota, Metazoa, Chordata, Aves, Galliformes, Phasianidae.
UUUUGCCCAGGCUUGCCUCAGUUUUCUUGGAGCUGUGUUUUACUUAAGCACCAUAAUCUUCUUGUUGAAGGCCUCUGAAUGGUGGCAACUCACAAUGUGCUUUCACCCCCCCACCCCAGACUCGAACUGCUGGACUCAGAGCCAUAGCUACCAUGAGAGGAGGAAGAGAUGGAUCACCAGGCCAGGAGAAUUGAAGAUAGAAGACACUUUUGCUGGAAGCGGAAGCAAGCAGUGCAAAAUUUGUCUUUCAGAAUGGAAUUUCCUGCACGGAGCAAGUUGCUUUCUCAGGGCGUUAUUUCCUUCCUACUAGAGAGGAGAUGUGUAAGACAUCGUCUCAUACCAUUCCAUACUGUCCUGUAGUCUAUCACUACAGUUUUCAAGCAACCCCAGUAUUUCACUAUGUUUACAAUCACAAGGCAAUUUUGGGGUGGGCAGCUGCCAUUGUCUUCAUGGUAAUGAAGGUCUUGGGGGCUGUAAGUUCAGAAAGUCAAAGAGUAGCACAUGCAUAGGAGUGUCCCGAAUUGAAUUUAUAUAAUCAAAUCCAAGCUAUCCUUUGCUUUUUAAGAUAUACAUUGUUAAUUUUAAUAGUAAAAGUCAAGACAAAAGACAAUUAUUCAGUUUUCAUACUAUUAUGAUCUUGUUCUUUCUGGAAUUCAUAUUCAUUAAAGACUACAGAUGGACACCAAGAAAAUAUCCAAGGAUGAGUGGGAAAAAUAGUAAGGAGUAGUCCUUUUGGUGGUUUUUCUUCAUGCACUUGAUUAUUUUUGAAAUAUAUUUCAACAAUUCUGGUUGCUCCUCCAUUUAUCUGAACAGUCAGAAUUUGAAAUUCCUGUUUGCUCUGUUUGUUAAUUCCCAAACUUGGCUAGAGAACUUCCUGUCUGCGAGCAUAAUAACUAUACUGCAGUUACUUUUGUUAGUGCUUCAAGAAGGGAAGUGCUGCAUGAUGUUCAGGAACAUGGAAGUUGCCUUCAUGAAGCACUUGCUAAGUAAUUCAGUCGAGUAGACCAUCUACUCUGUGAUGAUAAACUGGAUAUUGUAAUCAUUCAUUUAUUAAUUAAGGAUGUUAUCAAUGAGAAGAAAAAAACACACUGUUUUUCAUGAUUUAAAAAAAACACCAAAUUUGAAUACCUUGAAAAUGUGCAUGUGUAUAGAAAUAACUUCCCUUACAUAUGCAGUCAUCUUUUCUGAAGAUAUUCAAUGCUCUUCUUAUUUUGAAGAAUCUAAUGAGGUGUAAAAACUAUAUUCCAACUGGAGAUUGAAUUGUAAACUAUUAGACAAUUGUAAACCAUUGGACGAUUAAAGUCCAAGCACAACUUCUUAUUUGAAUAUAGAAGUAAUUUACUGUAUAUGCAAACACUGUAACAGAAUUUGGAAGAAAAAGCUUUGCCAUGUAUUUUGCUAUCCAGAUACAUGCAUAGCCCUUCAGAAGGGCUGUGAGCAGUUUAUACUUACUGAUGCAUUAUAUUUAGAAACCACAAAGUAAGAAGUACAGUUAGAAAACAGG